GAAGAGAUCUAUAAAGUGCCAUCUUC
Molecule: non-coding RNA, 26 nt
Filed under: Rattus norvegicus (Norway rat)
Lineage: Eukaryota; Metazoa; Chordata; Mammalia; Rodentia; Muridae
Source: RNAcentral